GGACGAACGCUGGCGGCGUGCUUAACACAUGCAAGUCGAGCGGAAAGGCCCUUCGGGGUACUCGAGCGGCGAACGGGUGAGUAACACGUGAGCAACCUGCCCCAGGCUCUGGGAUAACCCUCGGAAACGGGGGCUAAUACCGGAUAGGACCUUUCACCGCAUGGUGGGGGGUGGAAAGUUUUUUCGGCCUGGGAUGGGCUCGCGGCCUAUCAGCUAGUUGGUGGGGUAACGGCCUACCAAGGCGAUGACGGGUAGCCGGCCUGAGAAGGCGACCGGCCACACUGGGACUGAGAUACGGCCCAGACUCCUACGGGAGGCAGCAGUGGGGAAUAUUGCACAAUGGGCGAAAGCCUGAUGCAGCGACGCCGCGUGAGGGACGAAGGCCUUCGGGUCGUAAACCUCUUUCGGCAGGGACGAAGCGCAAGUGACGGUAGGAGCAGAAGAAGCGCCGGCCAACUACGUGCCAGCAGCCGCGGUAAGACGUAGGGCGCGAGCGUUGU
This 500-nucleotide ribosomal RNA is filed under the name uncultured Actinomycetes bacterium. RNAcentral's name for it is "bacterial SSU rRNA". It matches the Rfam family "Bacterial small subunit ribosomal RNA", at positions 27 to 544 of the family's 1533-position model. Lineage: Bacteria; Bacillati; Actinomycetota; Actinomycetes. The record is from RNAcentral.